UAGUAGGUAGGGCCAGGGUGUUAGCCGUACCCUGUACUCGAAACCGGCUUCAUGCGAGGACCAGUAACCAGCGGGUAAAUCUGUAGGUGGUAUGCACCUAAUGAUCUUGCUGAUAUGAAUCCACGCCGUGACGGGUGGUUACAGGUAACAACCCAUCUGAAGGGAUGGUAUUGAUUAUCGAACUACUGAAAGGGGUGAGGUCCGGGAGGGAGCAACCCUAAGGUGGAGUAACCACGCUGUCACGUCUACGUGGUGGAUCUUGCGAGGUCAGAGAUUGGACAUGUUGUCUACUGUAGAACCGGUGGAACUACUA
Molecule: signal recognition particle RNA, 313 nt
Filed under: Nitrososphaerota archaeon
Lineage: Archaea; Thermoproteati; Nitrososphaerota
Description: Thaumarchaeota archaeon signal recognition particle sRNA
Rfam family: Archaeal signal recognition particle RNA
Source: RNAcentral